ACGACCACACCUAGGCGAAAACACCAGUUCCCGUCCGAUCACUGCAGUUAAGCGUCUGAGGGUCUUGUUAGUUUUAGUAGUAUGGUUGGAGACAACACGGGAAGCCUGGAUGCUGUAGGCU
Molecule: ribosomal RNA, 121 nt
Filed under: Schizosaccharomyces osmophilus
Lineage: Eukaryota; Fungi; Ascomycota; Schizosaccharomycetes; Schizosaccharomycetales; Schizosaccharomycetaceae
Source: RNAcentral